CCGGGCCGGGGCCGGGGCUGGGCUCCGGGCCGGGUCUGGGCUCCGGGCCGGGGCCGGGGCUGGGCUCCGGGCCGGGGCUGGGCUCCGGGCCGGGGCCGGGGCUGGGCUCCGGGCUGGAUCUGGGCUCUGGGCCGGGUCUGCGCUCCGGGCCGGGGCCGGGUCUGCGCUUUUGGCCGGGAGUGGAUUUGUGGUUCUGUUGCUUCUGCUGCUGCGGUUGUUUGUUUGGUUUAUUAUACCUUCUGAAUCAGCACAACCUAUGGCCUGCCUGACAGAGGCACAGAAUGCACAGCUGAAUGGUGUUCCCUGGGACCCCACUGUCUUCUGAAACUGAAGCUCAUCCUUCUCACUGCAGAGGAAAUAAUUACUCACAACAGCAGGCAGCAAAAAUCUCUUCAUGGGGUUCAUCACACACACUAUUCUUGCAACUGUGGACCUCUGAGGGCUGGAAUUACUCCUAUACACAGAAGAACAUGGCUCUGAAAAGAGGGCAUGAAGACAACAGAAAUGAUUUGUCUCUUUACCAGCUAAGAAGUGGCUGUGGCUGUGAGACACAAAACCUGUGAUGAUGAUGAGCAAGGCCUCUCUUACAAACACAUAGUGCUGUGAUAGCCCUAUUUGGGCACUUGAUGGUAAUUGCCACUAAUGCUCCACUGUGCUCCUUCGUUGUCCUUUGGGCAGGAGUGUCCUGGUUUGUAAGAUAAGCUUGUAUUCUAUUUGCCAUCUGUUGGAGGUUGGGCAGGUUUGUUAUCUCUUCCAAGAACAAUGGUUUGCUCCGAAGAGGUAAUAGUUUGUUAAUGAGCCAUUGACUGACUCACUGCAGGCCUGGUAACGUAACACCAUCCCAUUGUGAGAUGCUCCACCCAGAGGGGGAAGCCAAGCACUCUUUUAUGGGAUAAAGGGGUACCUUUUGGGAGACAGGGCAGCUCUCUCUCUCUUCUGCGGGAUUCCCAGAGAAGCAGCUCCUUCGGCGGGAUUCCCAGAGAAACGGCCGGAGUGCGGUAAGGCGGCGGCGGCGGAGCUCAGAGGCGGCCCCGGCGCAGAGGAAGACCGGCCCCAACUGCCACCAGAUCUUCAGAGAAAACUAUACCCUUCAAAAGAUCACCACUUCAGCUGCAAUUCAUCAGCUACUGCAAGAGGAGCAGCUGUCAUUUCAACUGGACUGCUACCAACACCCCGAAUCCUCAGGGUGUCAGGUUGUGGACUUUAUCACUAGUUUUUUGUUUGUACCAAAUGCAUUUGCCUUUUAAAAUUGUUAUCUAGUUUCUCCUAGUAAAGAAUUGUUACUCCCAUUCCCAUAUCUUUGCCUGAGAGCCUUUUAAUUUAAAAAUCCUGGUAAUUCGGAGGGAGGGGGUUUACCUUCUCCAUUGCACAGGAGGCUUUUGCCCUCCUUCACAGACUCCUGUCUUGUC
Lonchura striata (white-rumped munia) is the source of this 1409-nucleotide long non-coding RNA. The record is from Ensembl. NCBI's taxonomy places the organism in Eukaryota, Metazoa, Chordata, Aves, Passeriformes, Estrildidae.